This 463-nucleotide long non-coding RNA is filed under the name Gallus gallus (chicken). RNAcentral describes it as "long non-coding RNA NONGGAT006863". The record is from RNAcentral. Lineage: Eukaryota; Metazoa; Chordata; Aves; Galliformes; Phasianidae.
ACUUCGUGGGAAACCUCCUUCUGCAUGCCUCAGCCUCCUGAAAGCUCUGUCUGCAGCUGAGAAAUUGAAGCUCUGCAUCCAUACAGUAGUCCCCAGAACCUACCCAGUAUCUGACCUUCACAGUGACCUGAGGAAUCAGACUUCAGGGUCUGGAAGACAGGAACAAAGGAGUUCCUGAUGAGAUCCCAAAGCCAGAAGCUGUCACUCCAAAAGAACAGGCUUGAUCACUUUGGACUAUAAGCAACAGUUUGUACUGUCAUUGAGAGUAUUAGACAAGUGAACAACACAAGUUCCAACAACACAUCACUACUGAAGAUCAGCACCUAACACCAAGACAUCGCUGGAUCGAGGAGUGGUGAGCCACUUUACUUUGCUGUGAUUGUACAUCUGGCUGUCUGUCUCUCUUUCCCCAUUUUCUACCAUUUCUCUUUAUCUUCUUUGAUUCUUUUACUCUUUGAAGUAG